AGAGUUUGAUCCUGGCUCAGAUUGAACGCUGGCGGCGUGCCUAACACAUGCAAGUCGAACGUGAAAGUCCUUUCGGGGGCGAGUAAAGUGGCGCACGGGUGAGUAACGCGUGGAUAAUCUGCCUUUAAGUUUGGGAUAACGGUUGGAAACGAUCGCUAAUACUGGAUACGUUGCUCUAUUUGUUUAGGGUGAGAAAGAUGGCCUCUGCUUGCAAGCUGUCGCUUAGAGAUGAGUCCGCGUUCCAUUAGCUAGUUGGUAGGGUAAUGGCCUACCAAGGCAACGAUGGAUAGCCGGUCUGAGAGGAUGACCGGCCACACUGGAACUGAAACACGGUCCAGACUCCUACGGGAGGCAGCAGUGGGGAAUAUUGCGCAAUGGGCGAAAGCCUGACGCAGCGACGCCGCGUGAGGGAUGAAGGUUUUCGGAUCGUAAACCUCUGUCAGAAGGGAAGAAGUUAUAUUGUGCUAAUCAGCAGUAUAUUGACGGUACCUUCAAAGGAAGCACCGGCUAACUUCCGUGCCACAGCCCGCGGUAAUACGGAGGGUGCAAGCCGUUAAUCGGAAUAAACUGGGCCGUAAAGCGCACGUAGGCUUGUUUUUGUAAGUCAAGAGGUGAAAUCCCACGGCUCAACCCGUGGAACUGGCCUUGAGUGCUCUUCGAAGAGCUACAAGACAGGUGCUGCAUGGCUGUCGUCAGCUCGUGUCGUGAGAUGUUGGGUUAAGUCCCGCAACGAGCGCAACCCCUAUUCAUAGUUGCUACCAAGUAAUGUUGGGCACUCUAUGGAGACUGCCCGGGUCAACCGGGAGGAAGGUGGGGACGACGUCAAGUCAUCAUGGCCCUUACACCUAGGGCUACACACGUACUACAAUGGCGCAUACAAAGGGUAGCGAAGCCGCGAGGUGAAGCCAAUCUCAAAAAGUGCGUCUCAGUUCGGAUUGGAGUCUGCAAUUCGACUCCAUGAAGUCGGAAUCGCUAGUAAUUCUGGAUCAGCAUGCCAGGGUGAAUGCGUUCCCGGGCCUUGUACACACCGCCCGUCACACCACGAAAGUUGGUUUUACCCGAAGCCGAUGAGCUAACUCGCAAGAGAGGCAAUCGUCUACGGUAGGGCCGAUGAUUGGGGUGAAGUCGUAACAAGGUAACC
Molecule: ribosomal RNA, 1141 nt
Filed under: uncultured bacterium
Lineage: Bacteria
Description: bacterial SSU rRNA
Rfam family: Bacterial small subunit ribosomal RNA
Source: RNAcentral